GACGAACCGUGCAAACGUUAUUCGGAAUCACUGGGCUUAAAGCGCGUGUAGGCGGGACGGUUAGGCGGACGUGAAAGGCUGGGGCUCAACCCCAGAUCGCCGUUCGAAACUGCCGUUCUUGAGGGUCGAAGAGGAGAGUGGAAUUCCUGGUGUAGCGGUGAAAUGCGUAGAGAUCAGGAGGAACACCCAUGGCGAAGGCAGCUCUCUGGUCGACAUCUGACGCUGAGACGCGAAAGCGUGGGGAGCGAACGGG
RNAcentral lists this ribosomal RNA (253 nucleotides) under uncultured bacterium. RNAcentral's name for it is "partial 16S ribosomal RNA". It matches the Rfam family "Bacterial small subunit ribosomal RNA", at positions 524 to 776 of the family's 1533-position model. The record is from RNAcentral.